CGGGGUGAGUAACGCGUGGGUAACCUGCCUCAUACAGGGGGAUAACAGUUAGAAAUGACUGCUAAUACCGCAUAAGCGCACAAAACCGCAUGGUUUGGUGUGAAAAACUGAGGUGGUAUGAGAUGGACCCGCGUCUGAUUAGCUAGUUGGAGAGGUAACGGCUCACCAAGGCAACGAUCAGUAGCCGACCUGAGAGGGUGACCAGCCACAUUGGGACUGAGACACGGCCCAAACUCCUACGGGAGGCAGCAG
Molecule: ribosomal RNA, 252 nt
Filed under: uncultured bacterium
Lineage: Bacteria
Description: partial 16S ribosomal RNA
Rfam family: Bacterial small subunit ribosomal RNA
Source: RNAcentral